ACGAACGCUGGCGGCGUGCUUAACCCCUGCAAGUCGCACGGAAAGGCCCUGCUUGCAGGGUACUCGAGUGGCGAACGGGUGAGUAACACGUGGGUGAUCUGCCCUGCACUUCGGGAUAAGCUUGGGAAACUGGGUCUAAUACCGGAUAGGAGCCAUCUUUAGUGUGGUGGUUGGAAAGUUUUUUCGGUGUAGGAUGAGCUCGCGGCCUAUCAGCUUGUUGGUGGGGUAAUGGCCUACCAAGGCGGCGACGGGUAGCCGGCCUGAGAGGGUGUACGGCCACAUUGGGACUGAGAUACGGCCCAGACUCCUACGGGAGGCAGCAGUGGGGAAUAUUGCACAAUGGGCGCAAGCCUGAUGCAGCGACGCCGCGUGGGGGAUGAAGGCCUUCGGGUUGUAAACUCCUUUCGCUAGGGACGAAGCUUUUUUGUGACGGUACCUAGAUAAGAAGCACCGGCUAACUACGUG
Molecule: ribosomal RNA, 465 nt
Filed under: uncultured bacterium
Lineage: Bacteria
Description: partial 16S ribosomal RNA
Rfam family: Bacterial small subunit ribosomal RNA
Source: RNAcentral